UCGGGGGCCGCAAGGCGGCAGGUCACCUGAGCCUGAAAGCGGUUUAGUGGCCUCCGAAAGCAGAUCCGGAGAGCACCGGUUCCGUGCCAAGAUUGCUCCAGAAAAGGUGUGGUAGUUGAUACCAGAAAGAACGUGUAGCUGCACGUGAAAUGGAGAACUCAGCGAACGGCGACUUUAGAGACUAUUCCCAGGAAGCUGUUGAAACUCCCUUUGCUGCGGGGAAAUGCCCUGUCUCCUCCGGACUGACACGACUGCCUACUUCCGCUGGUGGAAAACAAAACAAAAGAAGCCUAGAGUCUGUUCCUCUGUCUGGGCGACAAGAUUUACAGCCGGGGAUUCUCUUUCUCUGCCUUCUCUGGCACCUGCCUCUGGUUGCCCUCCCUUCCCCCCCUCCCAUUUCUGCCCCACCUGGGGGGGUGUGGCCUUCGUGAUUGGCUCCUCCCCCCCCACCCUUGCGGUCUGGAGAGAAGACCGCCCAAGUCAGAUUUCCCACCAACGUUUCCAGGUAAAAAUUAAUCAUGGGCGACAAAUUGUCUUAAGUGAAUCCAAUUAAAACGGAGUCAGUGUGUAAGUUAA
Long non-coding RNA from Suricata suricatta (meerkat), 576 nucleotides. RefSeq lists it as uncharacterized. The record is from RefSeq and is a predicted model, not a curated record. Lineage: Eukaryota; Metazoa; Chordata; Mammalia; Carnivora; Herpestidae. The transcript has 2 exons.